CUCCUACGGGAGGCAGCAGUGGGAAUUUGCGCAAUGGGGGAAACCCUGACGUAGCAACGCCGCGUGGAGGAUGAAAUCCCUUGGGAUGUAAACUCCUUUCGAUAGGGAAGAUAAUGACGGUACCUACGACAAGAAGCCCGGCUAACUUCGUGCCGAGCCGCCGCGGUAAUUC
This 172-nucleotide ribosomal RNA is filed under the name uncultured bacterium. Its description in RNAcentral is "partial 16S ribosomal RNA". It matches the Rfam family "Bacterial small subunit ribosomal RNA", at positions 336 to 526 of the family's 1533-position model. The record is from RNAcentral.